RNAcentral lists this ribosomal RNA (279 nucleotides) under uncultured bacterium. RNAcentral's name for it is "partial 16S ribosomal RNA". It matches the Rfam family "Bacterial small subunit ribosomal RNA", at positions 506 to 784 of the family's 1533-position model. The record is from RNAcentral.
UGCCAGCAGCCGCGGUAAUACGGAGGGUCCAAGCGUUAUCCGGAAUCAUUGGGUUUAAAGGGUUCGUAGGCGGGCUAAUCAGUCAGAGGUGAAAUCCAGCAGCUUAACUGUUGAACUGCCUUUGAUACUGUUAGUCUUGAGUCAUAUGGAAGUAGAUAGAAUAUGUAGUGUAGCGGUGAAAUGCAUAGAUAUUACAUAGAAUACCGAUUGCGAAGGCAGUCUACUACGUAUGUACUGACGCUGAUGAACGAAAGCGUGGGUAGCGAACGGGAUUAGAUA